Molecule: ribosomal RNA, 468 nt
Filed under: uncultured bacterium
Lineage: Bacteria
Description: partial 16S ribosomal RNA
Rfam family: Bacterial small subunit ribosomal RNA
Source: RNAcentral
GACGAACGCUGGCGGCGUGCUUAACACAUGCAAGUCGAACGGAAAGGCCCUGCUUUUGUGGGGUGCUCGAGUGGCGAACGGGUGAGUAACACGUGAGUAACCUGCCCUUGACUUUGGGAUAACUUCAGGAAACUGGGGCUAAUACCGGAUAGGAGCUCCUGCUGCAUGGUGGGGGUUGGAAAGUUUCGGCGGUUGGGGAUGGACUCGCGGCUUAUCAGCUUGUUGGUGGGGUAGUGGCUUACCAAGGCUUUGACGGGUAGCCGGCCUGAGAGGGUGACCGGCCACAUUGAGACUGAGAGACGGCCGAGACUCCUAAGGGAGGCAGCAGUGGGGAAUCUUGCACAAUGGGCGGCAGCCGGAUGCAGCAACGCCGCGUGCGGGAUGACGGCCUUCGGGGUGUAAACCGCUUUCGCCUGUAACGAAGCGUGAGUGACGGUAAUGGGUAAAGAAGCACCGGCUUACUACGUG